This 2503-nucleotide long non-coding RNA is filed under the name Homo sapiens (human). Its description in RNAcentral is "HSALNT0304822". Lineage: Eukaryota; Metazoa; Chordata; Mammalia; Primates; Hominidae. The record is from RNAcentral.
CCUUGGAAGGAUAGUUCUCCAGAAAGCAUCGAACUGACCUUCCCCCAGCGCCCUUCUUGUUUGUAGUUCUCAAUAAUCACUAGAACAGCUGGGAUCACUAGAACAUGCUGAGAUAGGGAGAAUGGCCUGACAGCUGGGGCUCUGUUGCCAUGCUCCCCUAGAAACAGAAUGUGCUUUAAUGCUGUAGCCCAGACAUUCCUAUUGCCGCAGAGCAUACCACCUGGGGGUGGGGAUGCUGCUGUCUGGGGAUCCUCAGCUGCAGUGCAAGUGGUGCCCGUGAAUUUUGAGACUCCUUCUGCUCCAGGCAGCUUUCCUGAACCUUGAGGAGGACUGGCUGGUGAUAAAUCCUAGGCUUCUGUUGUCCCUCAUUGCCUGUCUGUUCAGGGAAUGCAUGUGGAGGUUUGGUACAUGGCGAUAUUGCUUGUUGCUGAGGCUCAGUGUAAGAAUGAUCCUGUCACCAAGGUUUGACCUUGGAAGUCCUCAUGGAGAAAAUUGCAUCUGAGCUGGACCAUGAAAAAUGAGUAGGAUUUCAACAGAUAACAAUGGAAGAGAGAAAGCAAAUCAACCACCUUUCUUCGCUCAUCUGACAAAGUGCCUGAUUCCAGCCAGAGACUAUGUAAGCCCUUGGAGUGAUAUCAGUCUCUAUUGACUGAAUGCUAACCCAUGGAAUUAGAUAUCCAUGUGAGUCUAUUCUACACAUCCAUAAGAAAACCUUAUACCGAGGCUUACUGGUUUUAAAAGAGGAGAUGUCAAACUAAAGAAUGGAGAAGAAUUUUCAAGGAGUGGGAAAAUGCCACUACCCUGCUCAGAACCUUCACUGCAACCCAGACUGUGCCUGUAUCUUAGGAGUGCAGAUGAUUGAGAUGGUCCAAGGGUAUCCGGAAGAGAGAGGAGAGGACCCAACAGCAUGGAUGGUGCAUGCUGAGCACUUCUCAAAGGAAAACCCAUGGCAGAGGAUUCGACGAAGCCUCAUCAUGGUUUUUGAGCUGCUGUGCACAGAAAGAAGACGGCACAUCAUUUGCCAGGCCCAGGCCGGCCAGCACAGACACAUGCCUCUGCAGCACUGUAAGACAUCAGUGAAGGCUGAAGCAUUUUGCCAUCUGGGCAGCGUGGGUGGUGUGCUUUAAGUCUGGUGCUUAUGUUUCUGGAAACAGACAUACAACCAUCAGGUUGGCUAAACUUUCCUCAUGCUUUGUAUUAGAAAGGGAGAGAAUAGAUUACAGGAGACAAUGACAAUGAUAAGAUGAUUUCUAUGGGUUACUGCAAUUCAACCCCUUGUAAUAACACAUUGAUUUCAACGUUUCCCCUACACAAAGAAUUCUCAUAUGUUGCUGAUGGUAAAUGAUGCCCCAAUAUUCAGUCAAUCUAGGCAAAAAUAAAGUCCACUAAAUGAAAGAAAAUCACUCAAGCUGAAUUGGCCUCAUAUAGAAAUGGCUCAAGGGUUAAGAGAGGGAGCACAUGCUAAGAUAAAGAUUACAGGGGAAAUUGUGUUUAUUUAAUCAAGGCCCAGAUGGGCUGAAGGCAGAAACACAGCGUCCUGAUUUGCAUAACUUUUUCUCUCUGAGCCAUAAGCAAGGGCUUUUCCAAUAUCCAAGGAUAACCUCUGAAUUCAAACAAAUCAUUCUUCUGACCUAUGGCCAAUCUUUCAGCCUCACACAGAUGUCUCCCUUUAUGUAUAAGGAAGGAAUAAUCAUAUCACUCAAACUCAAAUGUUCACUUGGGAUUAACUAAUAUUUAAAGUGCUCUUCUUUUAAGAGCCACGCCAUGCAAAAGGGAAGUGGCUUAUACAUAUAAUACAGCAGUUUAUGGAAAAAGACUCCAUGGUAUGGUGGAAAAAACACUUUUCUAACAGAGCAACCUGGAUCCCAGUCCUGGUCUGCCACGGUUUAGCAACAUGACCAUGGGUAACUCACAAAAACACUGAGUCUCAGUUUCCUCAUCUAUGAAGCAAAACAUCCUUAUCUGAGGAGUUUUUCUUUGUCAAAUUACUAUAUCACCAUGACCAAUGCAUACAUAUGUAUUACAUAUGAUAGUGAUACGAUUAUUCCUUUCAUAUAGAUAGACAGAAGAUAUAGAUAGAAAAUAGAUAAUAGAAGAUAUUGAUGGACGAAAGAAGAUAUAGACAUGAAUAGAUGAUAGAGGAUAUAGACACGUAUAGUUGUGAUAAUGUAGCAUAGUUUUUUCCCAAAAUGUGAUAAAAUAAAGAAAUGUUUGACCUAAAGACUUCCCAUUUUAUUGAAAAGUAUGAAAUAUAUUGAAAAAUACAAUAAAACUAAACUGAGCCAAAGUUGUUGCAGCAACUUUACAAUUGCCUAAGUUAAAGUCGUUUUCAAAUACUUAAGUGGCAAUAUGCACUAAAAAAUAGAAUCUUUGAAAUACAAAAUUGAAGAAAUGAUGCACUGAAAGUUAUAAAAUUAUUUGUGAAUUAAAAAUACAUAAAACAAUGUAGUGAAUUAAUCUUUAAAUGUAACAUAUAUUUAUUCACUUAUUUAUUUCAUUGGUA